GGCCUGCCAGCGGUAGUGGGAAUUAUCAGUUGGAGAGGAACUUUGUUAUUAGGGUUGAAUUUCCAGUCUUCGGGCCUCAGUUCGGAUUAUUCUCUGCAACUCGGGAACAUGAAGUUGGAAUCACUAGUAAUCGCGGAUCAGCAUGCCGCGGUGAAUAUGUACCCGGGCC
RNAcentral lists this non-coding RNA (169 nucleotides) under Brassica oleracea var. oleracea. RNAcentral describes it as "Bacterial small subunit ribosomal RNA". It matches the Rfam family "Bacterial small subunit ribosomal RNA", at positions 1215 to 1380 of the family's 1533-position model. Lineage: Eukaryota; Viridiplantae; Streptophyta; Magnoliopsida; Brassicales; Brassicaceae. The record is from Rfam by way of RNAcentral.